UGUGCCCCAGAGGUGUUGUAGGUGUGGCUGCUGUGCCACAUGUGAGUCAGUAGGAGGCACAGAGGAGAGGCUCUGCUUACCCUCAGGGUUUUGACUUAUGAACGUCUGAAUGAUUGGUAGCCUAACAGU
This 129-nucleotide small nucleolar RNA is filed under the name Meriones unguiculatus (Mongolian gerbil). RNAcentral's name for it is "Small nucleolar RNA SNORA17 (ENSMUGG00000006365.1)". It matches the Rfam family "Small nucleolar RNA SNORA17". From Rfam's summary of the family: snoRNA ACA 17 belongs to the H/ACA family of snoRNAs and is predicted to guide pseudouridylation of the 28S rRNA at positions U4659 and U4598. It shares the same host gene together with ACA43. Lineage: Eukaryota; Metazoa; Chordata; Mammalia; Rodentia; Muridae. The record is from RNAcentral.